AUUGAACGCUGGCGGCAGGCCUAACAUAUGCAAGUCGAACGGUAGCACAGAGAGCUUGCUCUCGGGUGACGAGUGGCGGACGGGUGAGUAAUGUCUGGGAAACUGCCCGACGGAGGGGGAUAACUACUGGAAACGGUAGCUAAUACCGCAUAACGUCGCAAGACCAAAGUGGGGGACCUUCGGGCCUCACACCAUCGGAUGUGCCCAGAUGGGAUUAGCUAGUAGGUGGGGUAAUGGCUCACCUAGGCGACGAUCCCUAGCUGGUCUGAGAGGAUGACCGGACACACUGGAACUGAGACCAGGUCCAGACUCCUACGGGGGGCAGCAGUGGGGAAUAUUGCACAAGGGGCGCAAGCCUGAUGCAGCCAUGCCGCGUGUAUGAAGGAGGCCUUCGGGUUGUAAAGUACUUUCAGCGGGGAGGAAGGCGGUGAAGUUAAUAGCUUCACCGAUUGACGUUACCCGCAGAAGAAGCACCGGCUAACUCCGUGCCAGCAGCCGCCGUAA
Molecule: ribosomal RNA, 504 nt
Filed under: uncultured bacterium
Lineage: Bacteria
Description: partial 16S ribosomal RNA
Rfam family: Bacterial small subunit ribosomal RNA
Source: RNAcentral